Molecule: ribosomal RNA, 253 nt
Filed under: uncultured bacterium
Lineage: Bacteria
Description: partial 16S ribosomal RNA
Rfam family: Bacterial small subunit ribosomal RNA
Source: RNAcentral
UACGGAGGGGGCUAGCGUUGUUCGGAAUUACUGGGCGUAAAGCGUGCGUAGGUGGUUUGUUAAGUCUGAUGUGAAAGCCCUGGGCUCAACCUGGGAAUUGCAUUGGAUACUGGCAGGCUAGAGUGCGGUAGAGGAUGGCGGAAUUCCCGGUGUAGCAGUGAAAUGCGUAGAGAUCGGGAGGAACAUCUGUGGCGAAGGCGGCCAUCUGGACCAGCACUGACACUGAGGCACGAAAGCGUGGGGAGCAAACAGG